GAUGAACGCUGACAGAAUGCUUAACACAUGCAAGUCAACUGUGGCGGACGGGUGAGUAACGCGUAAAGAACUUGCCUCACAGCUAGGGACAACAUUUGGAAACGAAUGCUAAUACCUGAUACUGUGAGAGAGCUUUGCGUCCCAUUAGCUAGUGGGAGAGGUAACGGCUCACCAAGGCGAUGCUGGGUAGCCGGCCUGAGAUGGUGAUCGGCCACAAGUGGACUGAGGACCGGCCCUUACUCCAUCGGGAGGCAGCGGUGGGGAAUAUUGGACAAUGGACCAAAGUCUGAUGCAGCAAUUCUGUGUGCACGAUGAAGUUUUCGGAAUGUAAAGUGCUUUCAGUUGGGAAGCGGUACCAACAGAAGAAGUGACGGCUAAAUACGUGCCAGCAGCCGCGGUAAUAC
Molecule: ribosomal RNA, 404 nt
Filed under: uncultured bacterium
Lineage: Bacteria
Description: partial 16S ribosomal RNA
Rfam family: Bacterial small subunit ribosomal RNA
Source: RNAcentral